Molecule: ribosomal RNA, 900 nt
Filed under: Flavobacteriaceae bacterium S-1-20
Lineage: Bacteria; Pseudomonadati; Bacteroidota; Flavobacteriia; Flavobacteriales; Flavobacteriaceae
Description: bacterial SSU rRNA
Rfam family: Bacterial small subunit ribosomal RNA
Source: RNAcentral
GGCUUACACAUGCAAGUCGAGGGGUAACAUUGUGCUUGCACAGAUGACGACCGGCGCACGGGUGCGUAACGCGUAUAGAACCUACCUUUUACAGGGGAAUAGCCUUUAGAAAUGAAGAUUAAUGCCCCAUGGUAUUGAGACUUGGCAUCAAGACUUAAUUAAAGAUUUAUCGGUAAAAGAUGGCUAUGCGUCCUAUUAGCUAGAUGGUAAGGUAACGGCUUACCAUGGCAACGAUAGGUAGGGGUCCUGAGAGGGAGAUCCCCCACACUGGUACUGAGACACGGACCAGACUCCUACGGGAGGCAGCAGUGAGGAAUAUUGGGCAAUGGAGGCAACUCUGACCCAGCCAUGCCGCGUGCAGGAAGACGGCCCUAUGGGUUGUAAACUGCUUUUAUACAGGAAGAAACACUGGUAUGUAUACCAGCUUGACGGUACUGUAAGAAUAAGGACCGGCUAACUCCGUGCCAGCAGCCGCGGUAAUACGGAGGGUCCGAGCGUUAUCCGGAAUCAUUGGGUUUAAAGGGUCCGCAGGCGGUCAAUUAAGUCAGAGGUGAAAUCCCAUAGCUUAACUAUGGAACUGCCUUUGAUACUGGUUGACUUGAGUCAUAUGGAAGUAGAUAGAAUGUGUAGUGUAGCGGUGAAAUGCAUAGAUAUUACACAGAAUACCGAUUGCGAAGGCAGUCUACUACGUAUGUACUGACGCUGAGGGACGAAAGCGUGGGGAGCGAACAGGAUUAGAUACCCUGGUAGUCCACGCCGUAAACGAUGGAUACUAGUUGUUUGGCAUUAGCUAAGUGACUAAGCGAAAGUGAUAAGUAUCCCACCUGGGGAGUACGGUCGCAAGACUGAAACUCAAAGGAAUUGACGGGGGCCCGCACAAGCGGUGGAGCAUGUGGUUUA